RNAcentral lists this ribosomal RNA (468 nucleotides) under uncultured bacterium. RNAcentral describes it as "partial 16S ribosomal RNA". It matches the Rfam family "Bacterial small subunit ribosomal RNA", at positions 28 to 507 of the family's 1533-position model. The record is from RNAcentral.
GACGAACGCUGGCGGCGUGCUUAACACAUGCAAGUCGAACGGAAAGGCCCUGCUUUUGUGGGGUGCUCGAGUGGCGAACGGGUGAGUAACACGUGAGUAACCUGCCCUUGACUUUGGGAUAACUUCAGGAAACUGGGGCUAAUACCGGAUAGGAGCUCCUGCUGCAUGGUGGGGGUUGGAAAGUUUCGGCGGUUGGGGAUGGACUCGCGGCUUAUCAGCUUGUUGGUGGGGUAGUGGCUGCCCAAGGCUUUGACGGGUAGCCGGCCUGAGAGGGUGACCGGCCACAUUGGGACUGAGAUACGGCCCAGACUCCUACGGGAGGCAGCAGUGGGGAAUAUUGCACAAUGGGCGGAAGCCUGAUGCAGCAACGCCGCGUGCGGGAUGACGGCCUUCGGGUUGUAAACCGCUUUCGCCUGUGACGAAGCGUGAGUGACGGUAAUGGGUAAAGAAGCACCGGCUAACUACGUG